AUACGGAGGGGGCUAGCGUUGUUUGGAAUUACUGGGCGUAAAGGGCGCGUAGGCGGCCCACAUAGUCAGGCGAGAAAGCCCCGGGCUCAACCUGGGAACUGCGCUUGAUACUGGUGGGCUAGAGUCCGGGAGAGGAUGGUGGAAUUCCCAGUGUAGAGGUGAAAUUCGUAGAUAUUGGGAAGAACACCAGUGGCGAAGGCGGCCAUCUGGACCGGUACUGACGCUAAGGCGCGAAAGCGUGGGGAGCAAACAGGAUUAGAAACCCCAGUAGUCC
RNAcentral lists this ribosomal RNA (274 nucleotides) under uncultured bacterium. Its description in RNAcentral is "partial 16S ribosomal RNA". It matches the Rfam family "Bacterial small subunit ribosomal RNA", at positions 523 to 796 of the family's 1533-position model. The record is from RNAcentral.